CUAAGGGGAGCGGUAACUGGGAGAGGUGAUCGGAGCUCGGAUAAUUCGACACGAGAUCGGAUAAUUGGUGAGUAACACGUGAGCAAUCUGCCCCUGACUCUGGGAUAACAGCUGGAAACAGCUGCUAAUACCGGAUACGAGCUGCGAAGGCAUCUUCAGCAGCUGGAAAGAACUUCGGUCAGGGAUGAGCUCGCGGCCUAUCAGCUUGUUGGUGAGGUAACGGCUCACCAAGGCGUCGACGGGUAGCCGGCCUGAGAGGGUGACCGGCCACACUGGGACUGAGACACGGCCCAGACUCCUACGGGAGGCAGCAGUGGGGAAUAUUGCACAAUGGGCGAAAGCCUGAUGCAGCAACGCCGCGUGAGGGACGACGGCCUUCGGGUUGUAAACCUCUUUUAGCAGGGAAGAAGCGAAAGUGACGGUACCUGCAGAAAAAGCACCGGCUAACUACGUGCCAGCAGCCGCGGUAAUACGUAGGGUGCAAGCGUUAUCCGGAAUUAUUGGGCGUAAAGAGCUCGUAGGCGGUUUGUCGCGUCUGCUGUGAAAACUGGAGGCUCAACCUCCAGCCUGCAGUGGGUACGGGCAGACUAGAGUGCGGUAGGGGAGAUUGGAAUUCCUGGUGUAGCGGUGGAAUGCGCAGAUAUCAGGAGGAACACCGAUGGCGAAGGCAGAUCUCUGGGCCGUAACUGACGCUGAGGAGCGAAAGGGUGGGGAGCAAACAGGCUUAGAUACCCUGGUAGUCCACCCCGUAAACGUUGGGAACUAGUUGUGGGGUCCAUUCCACGGAUUCCGUGACGCAGCUAACGCAUUAAGUUCCCCGCCCGGGGAGUACGGCCGCAAGGCUAAAACUCAAAGGAAUUGACGGGGACCCGCACAAGCGGCGGAGCAUGCGGAUUAAUUUGAUGCAACGCGAAGAACCUUACCAAGGCUUGACAUAUACGAGAACGGGCCAGAAAUGGUCAACUCUUUGGACACUCGUAAACAGGUGGUGCAUGGUUGUCGUCAGCUCGUGUCGUGAGAUGUUGGGUUAAGUCCCGCAACGAGCGCAACCCUCGUUCUAUGUUGCCAGCACGUAAUGGUGGGAACUCAUGGGAUACUGCCGGGGUCAACUCGGAGGAAGGUGGGGAUGACGUCAAAUCAUCAUGCCCCCUAUGUCUUGGGCUUCACGCAUGCUACAAUGGCCGGUACAAAGGGCUGCAAUACCGUAAGGUGGAGCGAAUCCCAAAAAGCCGGUCCCACGUUCGGAUUGAGGUCUGCAACUCGACCUCAUGAAGUCGGAGUCGCUAGUAAUCGCAGAUCAGCAACGCUGCGGUGAAUACGUUCCCGGGUCUUGUACACACCGCCCGUCAAGUCAACAACGUCGCUGCACCUACCCCAGGGCCCCCCCCCUCCACCGUCACCCCGUCCCCCCCCCC
This 1415-nucleotide ribosomal RNA is filed under the name Microbacterium sp. Its description in RNAcentral is "bacterial SSU rRNA". It matches the Rfam family "Bacterial small subunit ribosomal RNA". The record is from RNAcentral. Lineage: Bacteria; Bacillati; Actinomycetota; Actinomycetes; Micrococcales; Microbacteriaceae.